This 464-nucleotide ribosomal RNA is filed under the name uncultured bacterium. Its description in RNAcentral is "partial 16S ribosomal RNA". It matches the Rfam family "Bacterial small subunit ribosomal RNA", at positions 28 to 507 of the family's 1533-position model. The record is from RNAcentral.
GACGAACGCUGGCGGCGUGCUUAACACAUGCAAGUCGAACGGAAAGGCCCCUUUGGGGGUACUCGAGUGGCGAACGGGUGAGUAACACGUGAGUAACCUGCCCUUGACUUCGGGAUAACUUCAGGAAACUGGGGCUAAUACCGGAUAGGAAUCCUUGCUGCAUGGUGGGGGUUGGAAAGCUUCGGCGGUUUUGGAUGGACUCGCGGCUUAUCAGCUUGUUGGUGGGGUAGUGGCUUACCAAGGCUUUGACGGGCAGCCGGCCUGAGAGGGCGACCGGCCACAUUGGGACUGAGAUACGGCCCAGACUCCUACGGGAGGCAGCAGUGGGGAAUAUUGCACAAUGGGCGGAAGCCUGAUGCAGCAACGCCGCGUGCGGGAUGACGGCCUUCGGGUUGUAAACCGCUUUCAGCAGGGGCGAAGCUUUUGUGACGGUACCUGCAGAAGAAGCACCGGCUAACUACGUG